GACGAACGCUGGCGGCGUGCUUAACACAUGCAAGUCGAGCGGAGUGGAUAGGAGCUUGCUUCUUGAAACUUAGCGGCGGACGGGUGAGUAACACGUGGGCAACCUGCCUUUAAGAGGGGGAUAACACAGAGAAAUUUGUGCUAAUACCGCAUAAAGCUACAUCUUCGCAUGGAGGAGUAGCCAAAGGAGAAAUCCGCUUAGAGAUGGGCCCGCGGCGCAUUAGCUAGUUGGUGAGGUAAUGGCUCACCAAGGCCACGAUGCGUAGCCGACCUGAGAGGGUGAUCGGCCACAUUGGAACUGAGACACGGUCCAGACUCCUACGGGAGGCAG
This 330-nucleotide ribosomal RNA is filed under the name uncultured Bacillota bacterium. Its description in RNAcentral is "bacterial SSU rRNA". It matches the Rfam family "Bacterial small subunit ribosomal RNA", at positions 28 to 351 of the family's 1533-position model. Lineage: Bacteria; Bacillati; Bacillota. The record is from RNAcentral.